Molecule: ribosomal RNA, 275 nt
Filed under: uncultured bacterium
Lineage: Bacteria
Description: partial 16S ribosomal RNA
Rfam family: Bacterial small subunit ribosomal RNA
Source: RNAcentral
CCUACGGGUGGCAGCAGUCGAGAAUCUUCCGCAAUGGGGGCAACCCUGACGGAGCGACGCCGCGUGUAGGAUGAAGGUCUUCGGAUUGUAAACUACUGUCAGCAGGGAAGAACAGAUGCUCGAUUAAUACUCAGGCAUUUUGACGGUACCUGCAGAGGAAGCCACGGCUAACUUCGUGCCAGCAGCCGCGGUAAUACGAAGGUGGCUAGCGUUGUUCGGAUUUAUUGGGCGUAAAGGGUCCGCAGGCGGUUUGGAAAGUCAGAUGUGAAAUCCCA